Molecule: non-coding RNA, 467 nt
Organism: Hippopotamus amphibius kiboko
Lineage: Eukaryota; Metazoa; Chordata; Mammalia; Artiodactyla; Hippopotamidae
Source: the annotation of a RefSeq genome assembly
GCACAUUUGUGCAGGGGAAUCCAUGACUCAUGCCGCUCUCCAGCCUGCUCUGGGUGUUCCUGGCCUUCACCUUCUCUGGAUCCUGUGUGGCCCAGAAGGUGACUCAAGUCCAGACAGCCAUAUCCCGCCAACUGGGGGAAGCAAUUACCUUGAACUGUCAGUAUGAAACAAGAUGGACCGUGUACUAUCUUUUUUGGUAUAAGCAGUCUCCCAGUGGAGAGAUGACUUUCCUUAUUCGUCAAGAAUCUAAUAGCCCACAUAAUGCAAGGGAUGGCCGUUACUCUGUAAACUUCCGGAAAGCAGAUAAAUCCAUCAGCCUCACAAUUUCAGCCUUACAAUUGGAAGAUUCUGCAAAGUACUUCUGUGCUCUCAGGGAGCUCACAGUGCUUGAAGUAAUAGGAAAAGCUGAACAAAAACCCCAGAUCUCAAUAACAGAGAGAGACCCCCUGUUGCAGGAGCCCAGCUGA